Long non-coding RNA from Arachis ipaensis, 283 nucleotides. RefSeq lists it as uncharacterized. The record is from RefSeq and is a predicted model, not a curated record. NCBI's taxonomy places the organism in Eukaryota, Viridiplantae, Streptophyta, Magnoliopsida, Fabales, Fabaceae.
UUCUUCUGUCCCGGGAAUGUGCAUGUGAUGUGUUUCAGAACUGAUGGGAGUUGUUCAGCAUAGCGUAUCUGCCAAACAUUUUGUUGUUAUAUGAAUGAUGGUGUCCUGAAUUCUUGUCACUAUACAAGUAUGAGGGAGGCUCACAAGCAUAACAAGUGAGAAGGCAAAAACAAAAUUUGAAAGUAUGUUCAAUCUGAAAGAAAGCCAUUCCAUUGCAGACACAUUAUGAAACCAUGGCCUUGCAUGGCCAUCCACAAGAUCAAGAUUUGUAUGUAUGAAUCUG